RNAcentral lists this ribosomal RNA (253 nucleotides) under uncultured bacterium. RNAcentral's name for it is "partial 16S ribosomal RNA". It matches the Rfam family "Bacterial small subunit ribosomal RNA", at positions 524 to 776 of the family's 1533-position model. The record is from RNAcentral.
UACGUAGGGUGCGAGCGUUAAUCGGAAUUACUGGGCGUAAAGCGUGCGCAGGCGGUUUUGUAAGCCAGAUGUGAAAUCCCCGGGCUCAACCUGGGACCUGCAUUUGUGACUGGAUAGCUAGAGUACGGUAGAGGGGGAUGGAAUUCCGCGUGUAGCAGUGAAAUGCGUAGAUAUGCGGAGGAACACCGAUGGCGAAGGCAAUCCCCUGGACCUGUACUGACGCUCAUGCACGAAAGCGUGGGGAGCAAACAGG